RNAcentral lists this microRNA precursor (63 nucleotides) under Euprymna scolopes. RNAcentral describes it as "Esc-Mir-277_pre stem-loop". Lineage: Eukaryota; Metazoa; Mollusca; Cephalopoda; Sepiida; Sepiolidae. The record is from RNAcentral.
CGUACCAAAAGUGCAUUCUACAACGUGUCGAUAUAAAACUGUAAAUGCAUUAUCUGGUAUGUG